UGGGGAAUAUUGGACAAUGGGGGAAACCCUGAUCCAGCAAUGCCGCGUGAGUGAGGAAGGCCUUAGGGUUGUAAAGCUCUUUCGCCCGCGAAGAUAAUGACGGUAGCGGGAGAAGAAGCCCCGGCUAACUCCGUGCCAGCAGCCGCGGUAAUACGGAGGGGGCUAGCGUUGUUCGGAAUUACUGGGCGUAAAGCGUACGUAGGCGGAUGCGCAAGUUGGGGGUGAAAUCCCGGGGCUUAACCUCGGAAUUGCCCUCAAAACUGCACGCAUUGAGACCGAGAGAAGUAAGGGGAAUUCCUAGUGUAGAGGUGAAAUUCGUAGAUAUUAGGAAGAACACCAGUGGCGAAGGCGCCUUACUGGCUCGGUACUGACGCUGAGGUACGAAAGCGUGGGGAGCAAACA
Molecule: ribosomal RNA, 402 nt
Filed under: uncultured bacterium
Lineage: Bacteria
Description: bacterial SSU rRNA
Rfam family: Bacterial small subunit ribosomal RNA
Source: RNAcentral